GGUCUCGAGCCCUGCCGCGCGGGAGGCGGCUGAGGCCCCGUGAGAAUUCGAGCGCCGCAGGGGCAGGCUGGCAGUGCUGGGGGACCCGGUGCACUCUCCGCAACUGCUGGCUCGGGUGCUAAGCCCCUCACUGCCUCGGGCCAGCGGUGCCGACCCGCUGCUCCAAGUGCGGGGCGGGCGGAGCCCGCGCCCACCUGGAACUCGCGCGGGCCCGCCAACGCCAAGCGCAGCCCCGGUUCCCGCCCGCGCCUCUCCCUCCACACCUCCCCGCAAGCAGAGGGAGCCGGCUCCGGCCUUGGCCAGCCCAGAGACAGGCUCCCACAGUGCAGCGGCGGGCUGAAGGGCUCCUCAAGCACUGCCAGAGUGGACGCCGAGGCCGAGGAGACGCCAAGAGCGAUGAAACAAGCUUCUGGUUCAAGGGUUUCUUCAGGUUCCACUACGGGCUGUUCUUCUGCAGGUGCACCGAUGUCCACAGUGCUACCUUCUGAUGAGCUACUGCUUUCAUUCAGUUUCUGCUGACUUAAUAUGUGAGCUGACAGAAUGCAGAGACCACGUUGUAUAUGAAGCAUCCACUUUGCCUUAUACACCAGGGCAUUCAAUAACCACUUAAUAACUACAACCCUGAUGAUCCGAUUCACUACUAAAGUCUUCCGUGUUUAAAUUUUCAAAGUCAGAUUCUCCUACAGCAAUUGGAGUGAUGGUGAGGAGGAAUUGUGCCAGCUUGCUUCUUCACUGCCAUUUUGGAACCAGAACUCAGAACCUGAGAAAGAUGAAUGAAAUUUAGUGUUUCCCAUCCCUGAGAGACACCCAGCAUCCACAACUUCACACUCUGAUGCCAUUGUGUAUUUAUGCGAGGAAUACCAUAACUAAGGACUCAUGGUUGUAUGGCAGACGCACCUGACAGCAAUAAUUUAAGGGUACCCUGAGAAUGACGCUGUGGUCUAAAAAGAAUAUGUGUUUGGAAGUCUGAGGUAGAGUGUUGCGUAAAGGAAACAAUGAUGUCCAAAGGGGCUGGACUGGCAGAUUGGAGAUGAGGUCUCGCUAUGUUGCCUAGGCUAGUCUUGAACUCCUGGCCUCAAAUGAUCCUUCUGCUUCAGCAUCGGGAGUCACUGGGAUUAAAGGCAUGAGCCACCAUGCUCAGAGUCUCGCUCUGUCGCCCAGGCUGGAGUUCAGUGGUGUGAAUUCCGCUCACUGCAAGCUCCGCCUCCCUGGUUCAAACAAUUCUCUGCUUCAGCUUCCCGAGUAGCUGGAAUUACAGGCACCCACCACCACACCCAGCUAAUUUUUGUAUUUUUAGUAGAGACAGGGUUUCACCAUGUUGGCCAGGCUGGUCUUGAACUCCUGACCUCGUGAUCCACCCACCUUGGCCUCCCAAAGUGCUGGGAUUACAGGCGUGAGCCACUGCGCCCAGCCUGAAAGAUCAUGUUUUUUAUAAGAACAUAUACAUGUAUAGAUAUGCAAAUACCUUCUUAAAGCACAGAAUACAAACAAAGACCCAUUUUCUAGAAGAAGUAACAGGGAAGAGAGAGUAAGAAAGAGAUAAUGAUGAACAUUGUCUAAUGUUACAGCAUAAUCUAGUAAGAUACAGUUUUUCACAAAUUGAAAGUUUGUGGCAACCCUACAUCCAGCAAGUCAAUUUUGGUGCCAUUUUUCCAACAGCAUGUGCUCACUUCGUGUAUCUGUGUCACAUUUUGGUAAUUCUUGCAAUAUUUCAAACUUUUUCACUAUUAUUAUAUCUGUUAUGGUGACCUGUGAUCAGUAAUAUUUAAUGUCACUUUAGUAAUUGCUUGGGGAUGGCAAGAACUGCACCCAAAUAAGAGUGAACUUAAUUGGUGUUACGUCUGCUCUGACUGCUCCACCAACAUGCUGUUCCCGUCUCUCUUCCUCUCCUUGGGCUUCCCAGUUCCUUGAGACACAAGAAUAUUGAAAUUAUUCCAAUCAAUAACCCUACAAUGUGGGUGGUGGGGAGGUGGGAAUGAUUAAUGGGUAUAAAAAUGUAGUUAGAUAGAAUAAGAUCCAGAAAUGUCGUUAAAUAGAAUAAGAUCUAGUAACACAACAGUUAUCACAGUCAACAAUUUAUUCUAUAUUGAAAAAUAGCUAAAAGAGUAUAAUUGGAAUGUUUGUAACACAAAGUAAUGAUAAAUGCUUGAGGGGACACAUACCCCAUUUACUCUCAUGUGAUUAUUGCAUAUGAUACGCCUGUAUCAAAACAUCUCAUGUAACCCAUAAAGGUAUACACCUACUAUGUAGCCAUACAAAUAAAAAAAACUUUUUUUUAAUCCCU
This is a long non-coding RNA of Pan troglodytes (chimpanzee), 2284 nucleotides long. RefSeq lists it as uncharacterized. The transcript is spliced from 12 exons. Lineage: Eukaryota; Metazoa; Chordata; Mammalia; Primates; Hominidae. The record is from RefSeq and is a predicted model, not a curated record.